This 200-nucleotide ribosomal RNA is filed under the name uncultured bacterium. RNAcentral describes it as "partial 16S ribosomal RNA". It matches the Rfam family "Bacterial small subunit ribosomal RNA", at positions 29 to 224 of the family's 1533-position model. The record is from RNAcentral.
AGUGAACGCUGGCGGCAGGCCUAACACAUGCAAGUCGAACGGCAGCACAGCAGUAGCAAUACUGUGGGUGGCGAGUGGCGGACGGGUGAGGAAUACAUCGGGAUCUACCUUUUCGUGGGGGAUAACGUAGGGAAACUUACGCUAAUACCGCAUACGCCCUACGGGGGAAAGCGGCGGACCGCAAGGCGUCGCGCGAUGAG